GAUUAACGCUGGCGGCAUGCCUAAUACAUGCAAGUCGAACGGAAGCAGCAAUGCUUUAGUGGCGAACGGGUGAGUAACACGUAGGGAACCUACCUAUACGACGAGGAUAACUACUGGAAACGGUAGCUAAAACUGGAUAGGAUCAAUUGAGGCAUCUUGAUUGAUUUAAAGAUCCUUCGGGAUUACGUAGAGAUGGCCCUGCGGCGCAUUAGCUAGUUGGUGAGGUAACGGCUCACCAAGGCGACGAUGCGUAGCCGACCUGAGAGGGUGAUCGGCCACAUUGGAACUGAGACACGGUCCAGACUCCUACGGGAGGCAGCAGUAGGGAAUUUUCGGCAAUGGGGGAAACCCGUGACCGAGCAACGCCGCGUGAGUGAUGAAGGCCCUAGGGUUGUAAAGCUCUUUUCAACGGUGAAGAUAAUGACGGUACCAUAGGAGGAA
RNAcentral lists this ribosomal RNA (441 nucleotides) under uncultured bacterium. RNAcentral describes it as "bacterial SSU rRNA". It matches the Rfam family "Bacterial small subunit ribosomal RNA", at positions 28 to 489 of the family's 1533-position model. The record is from RNAcentral.